GGGGAAGCAUCUUCGUUCGUCUCUCUCGGAGCUUUUCUUCCGGUGGUCGACCUCAACCUAGCUACGGCCUACGGGUUCAUCCACUAGUUCACCUGCUCAAGCACUGCACCCGCAUCGCUCUGGAUACCGUUGCAGCGUCGCUUGGUGGAUCUCUCACCCGAAGAUGUCGUGCCGUGCUUUCUGCCGCUUCGCUUCACCGCCACGAGCCUACAUCACCACAAGGGAAACAAAACGAAACGAUCGUGUGCAGUACCUGUUAGAGAAUUAGGCAAUUUUCAUAUCAUUUUAAUUCCAUAAAUCAAGAUUAUGAUGAUGACAUAUAUAAUAUAAUUAAUCAUAUAAAUCAUCACCAUUGAACAUGUUCGUAACAAUAUGGAACAUGUGAUUAUUAAAAAUAUAAAAACAUAAUAUAUGAAACAUAAUAACAAGAUAAGACAUAUAUCUCAAAUCAAAACAGCAAUAAACAAGAGACUACAUGUUCAACGACGAAACAAAACUACUGAAACAUAUGGAAAACAGUAUAUCAAACGACGUGACAGAACCACUACACAACAGCAUAUGAAACAUUUUGAAUUAACCAGCGAAACAAGCAGACAUGACAUAGAUCUUACAACAUACCCAUAUAUAAGAUAGAAACUGAAAAGAUAUGGUAGAACACCAGGAUAGUAUGCGCAACAACAUGAAAACACUACUGCAACAUGUACGAACAGGAAAACGAAACGCAGCCGGAAGAUGAACGGAUCAUACCCUCCCAUGCGCUCCGAGGAUCCCGAUCCUUGACCAACUUCCAUGAUGUAGACGAUGAAGACGAUCUUUCCACCGGGAAGGAGAAAUCCGCCCGAACCAGCUUGAGGAAGACGAACAACAGCGAGGAAGAUGAACAACAACGAUGGAUUGGACAGUCGCGUAGUCGCUCCCCAAAAACCUAAUUAUCGAUCCCUCGUGCAAGGUCUCGAACGGCAAAGGCUUCGGAGGCAUCUGCCCUCUCGCUCGUCGCGCGGAGUUACGAGAUAGAGAUUCCUUCUUUGCAACAGGA
Molecule: long non-coding RNA, 1036 nt
Filed under: Sorghum bicolor (sorghum)
Lineage: Eukaryota; Viridiplantae; Streptophyta; Magnoliopsida; Poales; Poaceae
Description: long non-coding RNA (SBIC_LNC000660)
Source: RNAcentral